Long non-coding RNA from Mastomys coucha (southern multimammate mouse), 954 nucleotides. RefSeq lists it as uncharacterized. The record is from RefSeq and is a predicted model, not a curated record. The transcript is spliced from 2 exons. NCBI's taxonomy places the organism in Eukaryota, Metazoa, Chordata, Mammalia, Rodentia, Muridae.
AUAUGGGUGAACUCUUUAGGGACUAAGUGAUGCUUUAGGAGCAGUUGGUGCUGUUAGGACACUGGUGACAUCACAGGGGAUUUCAAGAGUUACCCAGGAAACUGUAGAAUGUCCAGAAAAGGACUAUUUAUAUCAAAUAGUACAGCCUUUGCCUUCCUGCUAAUGUUUUCCCUGUAGUAACCAGAAGCUGAAGUUCUUGUCUUUACAGGACUCUCCAGGGACACAGUUGCUCUGUGGACUGUGCCAUGAUAUUGCACUCUGCCUUCUACUCUUCAAGAUGUAAGAGGACAAAUACUUCAGCCAUCACCCCAUGUUCCCAAAAAAGCCCUUUCUUUCUUCUGUGUUCAGUGAAGGGGGUCCACAAUAAGAACUCACACCUGGACUUGCAUACACCUUGCUUCCUUGAAGAGCUGAACAAAUUCUUCCAUUUUCCCAACUUAAUACAACCCUGAAUCUGGCCAGGAUUCUUUGUCCAGACAGUGGUCAAUUGUUUUUAAUUCUCUCUUCAAGAUGGGUGAAACACAGGUUAAUGUCAAGUGUUUUAUGUCUAUGAUGCCAAACUAGGAAGGGAAGAAAAUUAAAUUUACAAAUUUCUCUAGGAGGUCAAAUCUGCUUGGCAGGAUCUUGUUCCUCUAUUAUUAGGAAAAAACUUAAGAAGUGAUUGGACUCUACAUUGAGAAAAGAUAACCUUGGGAAUUUCUCCCAUCAACAUCUAUUAUGAGUGACUACAGCAGCUGCCAGCAAAAUAGCUCCUGAAUUUGGAGUACCAAGGUCGUUUUUGUUUUGUAUGUACUUUAUGGUAAGCCUUCUCUAGCAACUAUUAAGCUAGUACAGAUUAUCUACAGUGAUUAUACAGUAUCUCUCUUCCAGUUCCUUGUCAUUCAUAAGAAGCAUGUAAUGUACAAAGAAGGCAAGAAAACUUAUCAGGUUGUUCUCAAUAAAAAUCACAUUUUU